GGGGAUGUAGCUCAAUUGGUAGAGCGCUUCAAUGGCAUUGAAGAGGUAGUCGGUUCGAUCCCGAUCAUCUCCA
Molecule: transfer RNA, 73 nt
Filed under: Deltaproteobacteria bacterium
Lineage: Bacteria; Pseudomonadati; Myxococcota; Myxococcia
Description: tRNA-Ala
Rfam family: tRNA
About the family: Transfer RNA (tRNA) molecules are approximately 80 nucleotides in length. Their secondary structure includes four short double-helical elements and three loops (D, anti-codon, and T loops).
Source: RNAcentral